RNAcentral lists this ribosomal RNA (477 nucleotides) under uncultured bacterium. Its description in RNAcentral is "partial 16S ribosomal RNA". It matches the Rfam family "Bacterial small subunit ribosomal RNA", at positions 30 to 507 of the family's 1533-position model. The record is from RNAcentral.
AUUGAACGCUGGCGGCAUGCCUUACACAUGCAAGUCGAACGGUAACAGGUUAAGCUGACGAGUGGCGAACGGGUGAGUAAUGUAUCGGAACGUGCCCAGUCGUGGGGGAUAACUGCUCGAAAGAGCAGCUAAUACCGCAUACGACCUGAGAGUGAAAGCGGGGGAUCGCAAGACCUCGCGCGAUUGGAGCGGCCGAUAUCAGAUUAGGUAGUUGGUGAGGUAAAGGCUCACCAAGCCGACGAUCUGUAGCUGGUCUGAGAGGACGACCAGCCACACUGGGACUGAGACACGGCCCAGACUCCUACGGGAGGCAGCAGUGGGGAAUUUUGGACAAUGGGCGCAAGCCUGAUCCAGCCAUGCCGCGUGCGGGAAGAAGGCCUUCGGGUUGUAAACCGCUUUUGUCAGGGAAGAAAAGGUUCUGGCUAAUACCUGGGACUCAUGACGGUACCUGAAGAAUAAGCACCGGCUAACUACGUG